UGGCGGACGGGUGAGUAAUGUCUGGGAAACUGCCUGAUGGAGGGGGAUAACUACUGGAAACGGUAGCUAAUACCGCAUAACGUCGCAAGACCAAAGAGGGGGACCUUCGGGCCUCUUGCCAUCAGAUGUGCCCAGGUGGGAUUAGCUAGUAGGUGGGGUAACGGCUCACCUAGGCGACAAUCCCUAGCUGGUCUGAGAGGAUGACCAGCCACACUGGAACUGAGACACGGUCCAGACUCCUACGGGAGGCAGCAUG
This 256-nucleotide ribosomal RNA is filed under the name uncultured bacterium. Its description in RNAcentral is "partial 16S ribosomal RNA". It matches the Rfam family "Bacterial small subunit ribosomal RNA", at positions 96 to 353 of the family's 1533-position model. The record is from RNAcentral.